This 107-nucleotide small nucleolar RNA is filed under the name Theobroma cacao (cacao). Its description in RNAcentral is "Plant small nucleolar RNA R71". It matches the Rfam family "Plant small nucleolar RNA R71". Rfam says of the family: R71 is a member of the C/D box family of snoRNAs containing the C (UGAUGA) and D (CUGA) box motifs. Multiple nearly identical copies of this snoRNA have been identified in Arabidopsis, and it is thought to function as a 2'-O-ribose methylation guide for 18S ribosomal RNA. Lineage: Eukaryota; Viridiplantae; Streptophyta; Magnoliopsida; Malvales; Malvaceae. The record is from Rfam by way of RNAcentral.
AGACCAUGAUGAGGACAAGACCUAAGUAAGUCCUUAUAUCUCUCCCAGGCUUUGUUUAAUGACUCACCAUCAAACUGUGUGAAUGAAGUAAUAUUGUUCCUCAUCUU